RNAcentral lists this long non-coding RNA (317 nucleotides) under Elaeis guineensis (African oil palm). RNAcentral describes it as "long non-coding RNA (EGUI_LNC048226)". Lineage: Eukaryota; Viridiplantae; Streptophyta; Magnoliopsida; Arecales; Arecaceae. The record is from RNAcentral.
GUGGCUGUUGGUGCAUGCGGUGAAGAUCGGAUAGAUAGAGAUGUUUUAGACUCAGAUCAGGAUUGUGAUUUCAAUGCAGAUUGGGUUUUGGGGCCUGUAAAGAAGGCCUGACGGUCUGUGGAGAAAGAGGAGCAUCAGGGCAUCAUAGCAGAGCAUCAAAGAAGGUGUCAGGGGUGUCUCAAGGAGACUAGGAGGGGUCUGAGGGAGAGCUAGGGGCAUCAAGCAGUGGGAAGUGUCUUGAAACAGUGGGAGUGGCCUAGGGACAGGGGCUGGGGCAUGAUGUAGAGGCUAAGAGCAUCAUAAAGAGUGUCGAGGGG